AUGCAAAAAGCCCAGGAAUUGAAACGGAUCAGAAAUUUGGAGGUGCCAAACAAAGCUAAAAAAAGUUCUCAAAACUCUUUUGCUUGUCUGGAUGAUGAUGUUCUUAUCUCCACUACUGAUUGCUCAGGUGAGCUGAAUGAUAUCUGGAAAAAAGAAGAGAUAAAAGCUAGACAGAGGUCCAGGGAGAGGGAGAUCCUGGAAGGUGAUCUCAACACUGGAUACUUUAAAGAUGUGGCAAGCCAAAAAAGGAGGAAGAAACAGAUCCUGAUGCUGGAAAAUGAUGAAGGUAUUGUUACUAACCCAGAAGGUAUUAUGAGUACUGCUGUUAAUUACUAUAAAAAGUUAUUUGGUUUCGUGGAUAAAAUAGAUAUCACUCUGAAAGAUGACUUUUGGAGUGAGAAUGAAUUAGCCUCAGAAGCUCAUAACAAUAUUUUGGACGCAACUUUUACUGAAAAGGAAAUUAAGGAUGCUGUAUUCAGCUCAUAUGCUGAAGGAGCACCUGGCCCGGAUGGAUUUACUUUUUAUUUUAUCAGCAAUUCUGGGACCUUAUUAAAGGCAACCUAUUUGCUCUAUUCCAGGAUUGGGAGAAAGGAGAAUUAG
This 600-nucleotide ribosomal RNA is filed under the name Triticum aestivum (bread wheat). Its description in RNAcentral is "partial small subunit ribosomal RNA". The record is from RNAcentral. Lineage: Eukaryota; Viridiplantae; Streptophyta; Magnoliopsida; Poales; Poaceae.